Molecule: ribosomal RNA, 655 nt
Filed under: Bacillus sp. AT-MI-57
Lineage: Bacteria; Bacillati; Bacillota; Bacilli; Caryophanales; Bacillaceae
Description: bacterial SSU rRNA
Rfam family: Bacterial small subunit ribosomal RNA
Source: RNAcentral
AUGCAGUCGAGCGAUGGAUUAAGAGCUUGCUCUUAUGAAGUUAGCGGCGGACGGGUGAGUAACACGUGGGUAACCUACCCAUAAGACUGGGAUAACUCCGGGAAACCGGGGCUAAUACCGGAUAAUAUUUUGAACUGCAUAGUUCGAAAUUGAAAGGCGGCUUCGGCUGUCACUUAUGGAUGGACCCGCGUCGCAUUAGCUAGUUGGUGAGGUAACGGCUCACCAAGGCGACGAUGCGUAGCCGACCUGAGAGGGUGAUCGGCCACACUGGGACUGAGACACGGCCCAGACUCCUACGGGAGGCAGCAGUAGGGAAUCUUCCGCAAUGGACGAAAGUCUGACGGAGCAACGCCGCGUGAGUGAUGAAGGCUUUCGGGUCGUAAAACUCUGUUGUUAGGGAAGAACAAGUGCUAGUUGAAUAAGCUGGCACCUUGACGGUACCUAACCAGAAAGCCACGGCUAACUACGUGCCAGCAGCCGCGGUAAUACGUAGGUGGCAAGCGUUAUCCGGAAUUAUUGGGCGUAAAGCGCGCGCAGGUGGUUUCUUAAGUCUGAUGUGAAAGCCCACGGCUCAACCGUGGAGGGUCAUUGGAAACUGGGAGACUUGAGUGCAGAAGAGGAAAGUGGAAUUCCAUGUGUAGCGGUGAAAUGCGUA